RNAcentral lists this unclassified non-coding RNA (367 nucleotides) under Hevea brasiliensis (rubber tree). The record is from RNAcentral. Lineage: Eukaryota; Viridiplantae; Streptophyta; Magnoliopsida; Malpighiales; Euphorbiaceae.
GAAAAAUUAUGAUCUCUCAUGUGGUAAAGUUUGCAGUUCCAGCUGAAAAGGAAAGAAGCCAUGAAGUAUCUAUCACCUGAAAGUUAUGAUCUAUGAAUAGGAUAGCUUAGCUUUUAGUUGAUCCUUGAAGUGAAAAUUCUUUGUUUCACUGUGGUCUGCCCUUCUUUUAUUCCAUCAAUAAACAGUUUCAGAGGCUUUGUUGGUUUAAAUUGGAGAGAAUGUAGCAGGACCGAUGCCAAAUUGCUAUAAAAUAGCCUUUUCCCCUGCUAUUUAGUGGAGUAUUUGGAUGGAGAGGAAUGUUCACAAUUUUAAGAAUCAGGUCUUUCUUUUAAUUUGCUUUAGAAUAAGGUGGUGUUCUUGAUCUUUU